This 463-nucleotide ribosomal RNA is filed under the name uncultured bacterium. RNAcentral describes it as "partial 16S ribosomal RNA". It matches the Rfam family "Bacterial small subunit ribosomal RNA", at positions 28 to 523 of the family's 1533-position model. The record is from RNAcentral.
GAUGAAUGCUGGCGGCGUGCCUAACACAUGCAAGUCGAGCGGCAGCGCGGUCUUCGGACCGGCGGCGAGCGGCGGACGGCUGAGUAACGCGUGGGAACAUACCCCAAAGUGAGGGAUAACCGCCCGAAAGGGUGGCUAAUACCGCAUAUGGUCUUCGGAUUAAAGGAUUUAUCCGCUUUGGGAAUGGCCUGCGUACGAUUAGAUAGUUGGUGGGGUAAAGGCCUACCAAGUCUACGAUCGUAAACUGGUCUGAGAGGAUGAUCAGUCAGACUGGAACUGAGACACGGUCCAGACUCCUACGGGAGGCAGCAGUGAGGAAUCUUCCACAAUGGGCGAAAGCCUGAUGGAGCAACGCCGCGUGCAGGAUGAAGGCCUUCGGGUCGUAAACUGCUUUUAUGAGUGAAGAAUAUGACGGUAACUCAUGAAUAAGCACCGGCUAACUACGUGCCAGCCGCCGCGGUAA